AUUGAACGCUGGCGGCAGGCCUAACACAUGCAAGUCGAACGGUAACAGGAAGAAGCUUGCUUCUUUGCUGACGAGUGGCGGACGGGUGAGUAAUGUCUGGGAAACUGCCUGAUGGAGGGGGAUAACUACUGGAAACGGUAGCUAAUACCGCAUAACGUCGCAAGACCAAAGAGGGGGACCUUCGGGCCUCUUUCCAUCGGAUUUGCCCAGAUGGGAUUAGCUAGUAGGUGGGGUAACGGCUCACCUAGGCGACGAUCCCUAGCUGGUCUGAGAGGAUGACCAGCCACACUGGAACUGAGACACGGUCCAGACUCCUACGGGAGGCAGCAGUGGGGAAUAUUGCACAAUGGGCGCAAGCCUGAUGCAGCCAUGCCGCGUGUAUGAAGAAGGCCUUCGGGUUGUAAAGUACUUUCAGCGGGGAGGAAGGGAGUAAAGUUAAUACCUCUGCUCAUUGACGUUACCCGCAGAAGAAGCACCGGCUAACUCCGUG
RNAcentral lists this ribosomal RNA (490 nucleotides) under uncultured bacterium. Its description in RNAcentral is "partial 16S ribosomal RNA". It matches the Rfam family "Bacterial small subunit ribosomal RNA", at positions 30 to 507 of the family's 1533-position model. The record is from RNAcentral.